UCCUACGGGGCGCAGCAGUGGGGGAUAUUGCACAAUGGGGGGAACCCUGAUGCAGCGACGCCGCGUGGGCGAUGGAGUACUUCGGUAUGUAAAGCCCUAUCAGCAGGGAAGAAAAUGACGGUACCUGACUAAGAAGCCCCGGCUAAAUACGUGCCAGCAGCCGCGGUAAUACGUAGGGGGCAAGCGUUAUCCGGAUUUACUGGGUGUAAAGGGAGCGUAGACGGCAGCGCAAGUCUGGAGUGAAAUCCCGGGGCUUAACCCCGGAACUGCUUUGGAAACUGUGCGGCUGGAGUGCAGGAGGGGUA
Molecule: ribosomal RNA, 305 nt
Filed under: uncultured bacterium
Lineage: Bacteria
Description: bacterial SSU rRNA
Rfam family: Bacterial small subunit ribosomal RNA
Source: RNAcentral